AACACGUGGGCAAUCUGCCCUUCACUCUGGGACAAGCCCUGGAAACGGGGUCUAAUACCGGAUAACACUCUGUCCCUCAUGGGGCGGGGUUAAAAGCUCCGGCGGUGAAGGAUGAGCCCGCGGCCUAUCAGCUUGUUGGUGGGGUAAUGGCCUACCAAGGCGACGACGGGUAGCCGGCCUGAGAGGGCGACCGGCCACACUGGGACUGAGACACGGCCCAGACUCCUACGGGAGGCAGCAGUGGGGAAUAUUGCACAAUGGGCGAAAGCCUGAUGCAGCGACGCCGCGUGAGGGAUGACGGCCUUCGGGUUGUAAACCUCUUUCAGCAGGGAAGAAGCGAAAGUGACGGUACCUGCAGAAGAAGCGCCGGCUAACUACGUGCCAGCAGCCGCGGUAAUACGUAGGGCGCAAGCGUUGUCCGGAAUUAUUGGGCGUAAAGAGCUCGUAGGCGGCUUGUCACGUCGGAUGUGAAAGCUCGGGGCUUAACCCCGAGUCUGCAUUCGAUACGGGCUAGCUAGAGUGUGGUAGGGGAGAUCGGAAUUCCUGGUGUAGCGGUGAAAUGCGCAGAUAUCAGGAGGAACACCGGUGGCGAAGGCGGAUCUCUGGGCCAUUACUGACGCUGAGGAGCGAAAGCGUGGGGAGCGAACAGGAUUAGAUACCCUGGUAGUCCACGCCGUAAACGUUGGGAACUAGGUGUUGGCGACAUUCCACGUCGUCGGUGCCGCAGCUAACGCAUUAAGUUCCCCGCCUGGGGAGUACGGCCGCAAGGCUAAAACUCA
RNAcentral lists this ribosomal RNA (779 nucleotides) under Streptomyces atroolivaceus. Its description in RNAcentral is "bacterial SSU rRNA". It matches the Rfam family "Bacterial small subunit ribosomal RNA", at positions 112 to 903 of the family's 1533-position model. The record is from RNAcentral. Lineage: Bacteria; Bacillati; Actinomycetota; Actinomycetes; Kitasatosporales; Streptomycetaceae.